This 552-nucleotide ribosomal RNA is filed under the name uncultured bacterium. Its description in RNAcentral is "bacterial SSU rRNA". It matches the Rfam family "Bacterial small subunit ribosomal RNA", at positions 353 to 896 of the family's 1533-position model. The record is from RNAcentral.
AGUAGGGAAUCUUCCACAAUGGACGAAAGUCUGAUGGAGCAACGCCGCGUGUGUGAUGGAGGGUUUCGGCUCGUAAAACACUGUUGUAAGAGAAGAAUAGCAUCAAGAGUAACUGCUUGGUGUGUGACGGUAUCUUACCAGAAAGGAACGGCUAAAUACGUGCCAGCAGCCGCGGUAAUACGUAUGUUCCAAGCGUUAUCCGGAUUUAUUGGGCGUAAAGCGAGCGCAGACGGUUUUUUAAGUCCGAAGUGAAAGCCCACAGCUUAACUGUGGAAGUGCUUUGGAAACUGGAUGACUUGAGUGCAGUAGAGGAGAGUGGAAUUCCAUGUGUAGCGGUGAAAUGCGUAGAUAUAUGGAGGAACACCAGUGGCGAAGGCGGCUCUCUGGACUGUAACUGACGUUGAGGCUCGAAAGUGUGGGUAGCAAACAGGAUUAGAUACCCUGGUAGUCCACACCGUAAACGAUGAGUGCUAGAUGUUUGGGGGUUUCCGCCCCUAAGUGUCGCAGCUAACGCAUUAAGCACUCCGCCUGGGGAGUACGACCGCAAGGUUG